Molecule: long non-coding RNA, 827 nt
Organism: Marmota monax (woodchuck)
Lineage: Eukaryota; Metazoa; Chordata; Mammalia; Rodentia; Sciuridae
Exons: 4
Source: RefSeq, a predicted model, not a curated record
CUUGGAUUGCCCUGACUGUACUGUCCCCUGCUCAACAGGAAGGGUGCUAACUUCUACCAAAGACAAGACAUUGAGUCAGACCUGCAUGAUUUUAUUUAAUCCUCCCCUAAUUCAGAAAGAUCACAGUUGCCUACAGGUAACUGAAACUGUGGGUUGGAGUGACCACUGUCCAGAUAUCUCCCCACAUUGGUAGUGAAGCGAGAGUAUUUGAGAAGAAGCAUGAGCAUUAUAAUAAGUGUCUGAGUGAGACCUGAAACUCCCUGUUGCUCCUGGUCUGAAAAACCUACACUGAACACAGCCCAGUCCUCCCACCAGAAUCUAAGCUACUUCUUUGGAACCCGUUGCCCAUUUCAGGGAAAGCUGGUUUGAUCAAAUUGAGGCCCAGGAGAAGGCAUGAAGUACAAGGAGAAGAUGAGCUCUCCUGCCAUCAGGGAAUAUUUCACCUCAUCAUUGCUCUAUGGCUGGGGAGUUGGUUUAGUGGCACAGCUCAAACAGGUACAUUACUAUUCUGGAGGGAUGAGGCCUCCUGUGGUGACUGAAUUGUGUCCCCCCAAAUUCAUAGUAACAUCCUAACCCCUAGUACCUCAGAAUGUGACUGUGUUUGGUGACAGUCUUUAAAGGGGUGACAUUAAAUGAGGGCUUUAAAAGUGGGCUUUAAUCUAAUACAAGUGCUGUCCUUAUAAGAAAAGAUUAGAACACAGAUAUACACAGAGGGAAGACCAGGUGAAGACACAGAAAGAAGCCAAGGAGAGAGGCCACCAUGACACCUUGAUCUUGGACUUCUAGCUUCCAGACUGUGAGAAAAUAAAUUUCUGUUGUUUAAUUCA